AGAUUUUAACCAUUAUUAUAGUCUAACUAUUAUUAUAGUCAUAGGUGUUUUAACAUUUUUUUGCCAUAACUUUCUUGUGUUCUGGUCUUUUUGCGGUUUAGAAUUUUUUUUUCUGCUUUUAAGAAAAUCGUCUCAGAUUAUUCCGAUUAUUUGUCGAUUUAUUAGGAAAAAAUCAAGGAUCGAAAGUCUCUAUUUAGAGACUAAAUAGUGGAUGCCACCCUAAAAAAUCGAAAUUCCCUAUUUUUCUAGUUUUU
RNAcentral lists this long non-coding RNA (254 nucleotides) under Lathyrus oleraceus (garden pea). RNAcentral describes it as "Pisum sativum (pea) long non-coding RNA (PSAT_LNC037276)". The record is from RNAcentral. Lineage: Eukaryota; Viridiplantae; Streptophyta; Magnoliopsida; Fabales; Fabaceae.